GGAUGAAGACGCUCGAAUUGCGCGUCGUGGCGCCCAAGGCCACGUAAAAAUGGGCAAACCAUGCAACUGCGAACGAUAACGCUGUUGCUCUCGCUGCCUGAUAAAACCAGGUAACGACGGUGCUCGCGGCUUCCGUCUGUAGCCACGAAACACCGACACAACCAGACUAGAUCUCCUGACCCGUCAGCGCACGGAGAUCGAAAUUCAGCUGGCUUGUUGUGCUCGCAGGUCGGCCGCUGCCGGCGAGCACGAGACCUUAAAUAGCGUGCCUACGCACGUAGACGUUCGAGUAGAAGCAUCUUCGGACGCGGGUUCGACUCCCGCCGCCUCCACCA
Molecule: transfer-messenger RNA, 335 nt
Filed under: Deltaproteobacteria bacterium
Lineage: Bacteria; Pseudomonadati; Myxococcota; Myxococcia
Description: partial transfer-messenger RNA
Rfam family: transfer-messenger RNA
About the family: Bacterial tmRNA, also known as 10Sa RNA or SsrA, is named for its dual tRNA and mRNA-like properties. Its role is to liberate the mRNA from a stalled ribosome.
Source: RNAcentral